UGGGGAAUAUUGCACAAUGGGGCGCAAGCCUGAUGCAGCCAUGCCGCGUGUGUGAAGAAGGCCUUCGGGUUGUAAAGCACUUUCAGUAGGGAGGAAAGUGAUAGGUCGUUAAUAGCAGAUUGCUGUGACGUUACCGACAGAAGAAGCACCGGCUAACUCCGUGCC
Molecule: ribosomal RNA, 165 nt
Filed under: uncultured Vibrio sp.
Lineage: Bacteria; Pseudomonadati; Pseudomonadota; Gammaproteobacteria; Vibrionales; Vibrionaceae
Description: partial 16S ribosomal RNA
Rfam family: Bacterial small subunit ribosomal RNA
Source: RNAcentral